Haliotis rufescens (red abalone) is the source of this 372-nucleotide long non-coding RNA. RefSeq lists it as uncharacterized. The transcript has 4 exons. NCBI's taxonomy places the organism in Eukaryota, Metazoa, Mollusca, Gastropoda, Lepetellida, Haliotidae. The record is from RefSeq and is a predicted model, not a curated record.
CCGACGGGUUCAACAACACUAAAUCAGAAUCAGUUGUUCGGCCAACCUCUUUCGCAGAGCUGCAGUGAGAAUGUCGGUAGCUGUGAUCGGAUGAUGUGCCCAUUCCUUGCUGGAUGACAUUUUCCAGAUUGGAACAAAAAACGCAACUGCAGAACUUCUGGGACAGCUUAACCUCUUUGUCUCCAAGUUGACAGGAACAUCCACUGGAUUCACGGCCAUUAACUUCUUUGUCAUCACAAACGAGUUCCUUCUGACUUUGGGUGGACUGUUCAUCACCUACUUCUUCCUCCUGCUGCAAUUCAAGAUAUAGACUGACACUGGGUUGUCCUCAUGUGGAUAGAUUCAUACACACCAAGUGUCCUGUCCCCAAAA